AAACCAAUCAGCAAAGACAUGAUGUUGUGGUGAUGCUGUUUCGCUUUAAUUUUUUUUUUUUUGUUAUGAGAAAAACGGUGUAUUUAAAAAUAAAUAUUUUUUUUAUUAAAUUUUAAUCGCAUUCAGAACACUGUACAUAAAAGUUGCCCACUUCAAUUUGUUGCUACCGCCGCCUCUUUUUCUGUUGCUAUCGUUGCUGAAACGUCACAUUUCCCCAGCUGUGUCGUCGGUUUAGCGACUAGCCUCAGCGCCGUUUUCGAACGAGCGUCUCAACUCAUUGCGCGUCCAAACAUCGCGGCGUGCAGUUCGUCAAUUCGCUUUAACUGCUAUUUGUCUUCUGCUCAUACAUAUUCCACUCGAGCUCGGUUUGUAUUGUCUUACCUUUCGUGCCGUUCAGUUCACUUCAGUUCAGUUGCGCUUAUUUGAGACGAAUUAACAAUGUUUGUCGGCGUUGCGCGUAAGACCGCGUAAUUCAAGUGUCAACAACGUUUUAAAAAAACUACCACGAUUUUCAUUGCUGGCUGCUGCGCUCACAUAUAUGCACGUCCAAAUGAAUAUAUAUGGUUGCGUGUAUGUAUACAUAGCGGUGUACAAUUGAUCAUAAAAUUUAUAGGCUUACCAGCAAAGGUAGCAGCAGUGAGUGAAUAAAGCGAAACAAUUAAGCGAUUAUUAAAAAGUAAUAAAAUCAAUUGAACCGGAAUAAUAAUAAAUAUAUUUACAUAUGUAUGCACAUAUGUACAUAUGCAGCAGCUGUGGAAAUUUAAUACGUGUUUACAUCAGCAACGCAAAAAAAUUGCAACAACAACAAACAACAAUUAAUUGUUUAACGUGAGGAAAAGUGCUCUAGAGUGAACUUUAAAAUACGCAUUUAAUAAAAGAAAAUUAAUAAUAAAACAUCUGGAUUUGUUUUUACACAUUUCGCACACACACACGAGUCUAUAUCAGAGUGAAAUUGUGUGAAACAAAAAGUGAUUAAACUCUCUUUUGUUUAAAAAAUAAUAUAAAAAUAAAUUUAGCAUAUUUAAUUAACA
Ceratitis capitata (Mediterranean fruit fly) is the source of this 1031-nucleotide long non-coding RNA. RefSeq lists it as uncharacterized. The transcript is spliced from 2 exons. The record is from RefSeq and is a predicted model, not a curated record. Lineage: Eukaryota; Metazoa; Arthropoda; Insecta; Diptera; Tephritidae.